UGUUCAUCUACUGUACUGAUUGGAAAAGGAGCAUUGCAAAUUUACAGACCAUUGUAAAAUUGUUUGCUUACAAUGAUAAAAGCUUCUUUCAGCUUACUCUAAAAUGUUUGUGAUUCUUCUCAUUUUUUCACCCAUGGAGGAUGUUGAGUGGUAACACUUUCUGAGACCCUGGGUGUUAAUUUUAAGAAUGCCUCAGAUGCAGUUGCAUGAGUAUUUAUUUCAGCAGCAGCAGUUCAGGCAGGGUCCUCUGUUCCUGCCCUUGUUCUGCCCUCUGUGAUCCCAUUGCAAAUGUUUGUACAACCAUGUGAGGAGAUGGAUUGCAAAAUAAUCCAUGUUUAAAAAAAAAAAAACCUUUAACAAAAAAAUGAGAGGAGUUUUCAUGUCCUGAUUUAAACCAGAUUAGCUCCUAGUCUGGUUCAUGUAAUAACAGGACUGAGCUGUACCAGCAGAACUGAGGGAGCAGCACAGGGCAGGGAUGAGAAGGAUGGAUGGGGAUGCUCGUUCCAACAGUGAUGCCUGAGGACCACAUCCAGGUGCUUGUGCUCAUCUUGGGAUGGCAGUGCCCCAGAGCUUGUGUCACCACAGGCACUGAGGAGAACUGACAAGGACAAGAGACUUCCCUUCUCCCUGGAAACAGGCAACUCCCCAGGGACACAAGUGAAAACAUGGAGAAUUCUACAAGAUCCCAUUUCCUUCCUGGUGAGGCCAAUAGUGACCUGCUGCUUUACAAACCAACAUAUUUUGUCUUGAGAAAGGAAACAGGCACUUUCAUGGAUGUGGCCACUGAGCUCAGUGGGAGCCUAGAUGUGCAUCACCUUUAUUUUGAAAGAUAAUGUCAAGCAUGCAAUCAUGAGUCACACAGCGGGACAAUACGUGCUUCGGGUGUGGAAGACUAGAAUUCAAAAUAUCAUGUUGGUGACCUUGAAAACUCCCAAACAUGAAA
Molecule: long non-coding RNA, 943 nt
Organism: Poecile atricapillus (Black-capped chickadee)
Lineage: Eukaryota; Metazoa; Chordata; Aves; Passeriformes; Paridae
Exons: 3
Source: RefSeq, a predicted model, not a curated record